GACGAACGCUGGCGGCGUGCUUAACACAUGCAAGUCGAACGAGAAUCUGUGGAUCGAGGAUUCGUCCAAGUGAGGCAGAGGACAGUGGCGGACGGGUGAGUAACGCGUGAGGAACCUGCCUUUCAGAGGGGGACAACAGUUGGAAACGACUGCUAAUACCGCAUGAUACAUUUGGGUGGCAUCAUCUGAAUGUCAAAGAUUUAUCGCUGAAAGAUGGCCUCGCGUCUGAUUAGCUGGUUGGUGAGGUAACGGCCCACCAAGGCGACGAUCAGUAGCCGGACUGAGAGGUUGACCGGCCACAUUGGGACUGAGAUACGGCCCAGACUCCUACGGGAGGCAGCAGUGGGGAAUAUUGGGCAAUGGGCGCAAGCCUGACCCAGCAACGCCGCGUGAAGGAAGAAGGCUUUCGGGUUGUAAACUUCUUUUAAGAGGGAAGAGCAGAAGACUGUACCUUUCGAGGAAGCCACGGCUAACUACGUGCCAGCAGCCGACGG
RNAcentral lists this ribosomal RNA (494 nucleotides) under uncultured bacterium. RNAcentral describes it as "bacterial SSU rRNA". It matches the Rfam family "Bacterial small subunit ribosomal RNA", at positions 28 to 520 of the family's 1533-position model. The record is from RNAcentral.